Molecule: ribosomal RNA, 494 nt
Filed under: uncultured bacterium
Lineage: Bacteria
Description: partial 16S ribosomal RNA
Rfam family: Bacterial small subunit ribosomal RNA
Source: RNAcentral
GACGAACGCUGGCGGCGUGCUUAACACAUGCAAGUCGAACGGUGAAGCGCCUUCCUUUUUGGUGGGUGGGGGUGAGUGGCGAACGGGUGAGUAACACGUGAGUAACCUGCCCCCUUCUUCUGGAUAACCGCAUGAAAGUGUGGCUAAUACGGGUUAUUCUGAGUCUGUCGCAUGAUGGGUCUGGGAGAGAUAUUGUGUCGGUGGGGGAUGGGCUCGCGGCCUAUCGGCAUGUUGGUGGGGUGAUGGCCUACCAAGGCGGUGACGUGUAGCCGGGCUGAGAGGGUGAGCGGCCCCACUGGGGCUGCGACACGGCGAAGACUCCUACGGGAGGCAGCGGGGGGGAAUAUUGCACAAUGGGCGCAAGCCUGAUGCAGCGCCGCCGCGUGAGAGAUGGAGGCCUUCGGGUUGUGAACCUCUUUCGCCAGUGAAGCAGGCCUGCCUCGUUUGUGGGUGGGUUGACGGUAGCUGGAGAAGAAGCGCCGGCUAACUACGUG